This 661-nucleotide ribosomal RNA is filed under the name uncultured Marinobacter sp. Its description in RNAcentral is "bacterial SSU rRNA". It matches the Rfam family "Bacterial small subunit ribosomal RNA", at positions 40 to 693 of the family's 1533-position model. Lineage: Bacteria; Pseudomonadati; Pseudomonadota; Gammaproteobacteria; Pseudomonadales; Marinobacteraceae. The record is from RNAcentral.
CGGCAGGCUUAACACAUGCAAGUCGAGCGGUAACAGGGGUAGCUUGCUACCCGCUGACGAGCGGCGGACGGGUGAGUAAUGCUUAGGAAUCUGCCCAGUAGUGGGGGAUAGCCCGGGGAAACCCGGAUUAAUACCGCAUACGUCCUACGGGAGAAAGCAGGGGAUCUUCGAACCUUGCGCUAUUGGAUGAGCCUAAGUCGGAUUAGCUAGUUGGUGGGGUAAAGGCCUACCAAGGCGACGAUCCGUAGCUGGUCUGAGAGGAUGAUCAGCCACAUCGGGACUGAGACACGGCCCGAACUCCUACGGGAGGCAGCAGUGGGGAAUAUUGGACAAUGGGGGCAACCCUGAUCCAGCCAUGCCGCGUGUGUGAAGAAGGCUUUCGGGUUGUAAAGCACUUUCAGUAGGGAGGAAAACCUUAUGGCUAAUACCCAUGAGGCUUGACGUUACCUACAGAAGAAGCACCGGCUAACUCCGUGCCAGCAGCCGCGGUAAUACGGAGGGUGCAAGCGUUAAUCGGAAUUACUGGGCGUAAAGCGCGCGUAGGUGGUUUGGUAAGCGAGAUGUGAAAGCCCCGGGCUUAACCUGGGAACGGCAUUUCGAACUGUCAGACUAAGUGUGGUAGAGGGUAGUGGAAUUUCCUGUGCAGCGGUGAAAUGCGUUA